GAUGAAGAACGCAGCAAAAUGCGAUAAGUAGUGUGAAUUGCAGAAUUCAGUGAAUCAUCGAAUCUUUGAACGCACAUUGCGCCCUUUGGUAUUCCAAAGGGCAUGCCUGUUCGAGCGUCAUUUGUACCCUCAAGCUUUGCUUGGUGUUGGGCGUCUUGUCUCUAGCUUUGCUGGAGACUCGCCUUAAAGUAAUUGGCAGCCGGCCUACUGGUUUCGGAGCGCAGCACAAGUCGCACUCUCUAUCAGCAAAGGUCUAGCAUCCAUUAAGCCUUUUUUUCAACUUUUGACCUCGGAUCAGGUAGGGAUACCCGCUGAACUUAAGCAAUCAAUAAGCGGAGGA
This 340-nucleotide unclassified non-coding RNA is filed under the name soil metagenome. Its description in RNAcentral is "partial contains 5.8S ribosomal RNA, internal transcribed spacer 2, and large subunit ribosomal RNA". The stretch from base 1 to 120 matches the Rfam family "5.8S ribosomal RNA", at positions 35 to 154 of the family's 154-position model. The record is from RNAcentral.